RNAcentral lists this microRNA precursor (101 nucleotides) under Aotus nancymaae (Ma's night monkey). Its description in RNAcentral is "miRNA (ENSANAG00000005802.1)". Lineage: Eukaryota; Metazoa; Chordata; Mammalia; Primates; Aotidae. The record is from RNAcentral.
UAGGGUGGUGCAAAAGUAAUUGCAGUUUCUGCCAUUCAAUUGCAUUGAGGUAUAUUACACGGAAUGGCAGGAACCGCAAUUACUUUUGCACCAACCUAAUA